GUCUUGCGGCGCGCUUAAAUGCAAGUCGAACGAGAAAGGGGAGCAAUCCCUGAGUACAGUGGCGUACGGGUGAGUAACACGUGGAUGAUCUACCUCUUAGUGGGGGAUAUCUCUGGGAAACCGGAGUUAAUACCGCAUAAGCUCGAGAGAGGAAACGCGAAAGCGGCUGAGAGAGGAGUCCGCGGCCGAUUAGCUAGUUGGUAGGGUAAAAGCCUACCAAGGCAUAGAUCGGUAGCCGGCCUGAGAGGGCACACGGCCACACUGGCACUGAAACACGGGCCAGACUCCUACGGGAGGCAGCAGUGGGGAAUCUUGCACAAUGGGGGAAACCCUGAUGCAGCGACGCCGCGUGAGCGAUGAAGCCCUUCGGGGUGUAAAGCUCUUUCGACGGGAACGAUAAUGACGGUACCCGGAGAAGAAGCUGCGGCUAACUACGUGCCAGCAGCCGCGGUAAUACGUAGGCAGCAAGCGUUGUUCGGAGUUACUGGGCGUAAAGAGUGCGUAGGCGGUCCUAUAAGUUUGUUGUGAAAUCUCCCGGCUUAACUGGGAGGGUGCGGCGAAGACUGUGGGGCUUGAGUGUGGGAGAGGUAAGCGGAAUUCCUGGUGUAGCGGUGAAAUGCGUAGAUAUCAGGAGGAACACCGGCGGUGUAGACGGCUUACUGGACCAUGACUGACGCUGAGGCACGAAAGCGUGGGGAGCAAACAGGAUUAGAUACCCUGGUAGUCCACGCCCUAAACGAUGCACACUUGGUGUGAGCGAUUCAUUUCGUUCGUGCCGGAGCUAA
RNAcentral lists this ribosomal RNA (785 nucleotides) under uncultured bacterium. RNAcentral's name for it is "bacterial SSU rRNA". It matches the Rfam family "Bacterial small subunit ribosomal RNA", at positions 35 to 855 of the family's 1533-position model. The record is from RNAcentral.